This 497-nucleotide ribosomal RNA is filed under the name uncultured bacterium. Its description in RNAcentral is "partial 16S ribosomal RNA". It matches the Rfam family "Bacterial small subunit ribosomal RNA", at positions 28 to 507 of the family's 1533-position model. The record is from RNAcentral.
GAUGAACGCUGGCGGCGUGCCUAAUACAUGCAAGUCGAGCGAACGGACGAGAAGCUUGCUUCUCUGAUGUUAGCGGCGGACGGGUGAGUAACACGUGGACAACCUACCUAUAAGACUGGGAUAACUUCGGGAAACCGGAGCUAAUACCGGAUAAUAUUUUGAACCGCAUGGUUCAAAAGUGAAAGACGGUCUUGCUGUCACUUAUAGAUGGAUCCGCGCUGCAUUAGCUAGUUGGUAAGGUAACGGCUUACCAAGGCAACGAUGCAUAGCCGACCUGAGAGGGUGAUCGGCCACACUGGAACUGAGACACGGUCCAGACUCCUACGGGAGGCAGCAGUAGGGAAUCUUCCGCAAAGGGCGAAAGCCUGACGGAGCAACGCCGCGUGAGUGAUGAAGGUCUUCGGAUCGUAAAACUCUGUUAUUAGGGAAGAACAUAUGUGUAAGUAACUGUGCACAUCUCGACGGUACCUAAUCAGAAAGCCACGGCUAACUACGUG